GCCAACAGCUAGCUUACCACCCAACAUCAAACAAUAUUAACAUAAUAAACCAACACCAAAAACCUAAACCAUUCUUUUACCUUAGUAUGGGAGACAGAAAAGGUUACACAAAGCAAUAGAAAUAGUACCGCAAGGGAAAGCUGAAAGAGAAAUGAAACAACCCAUAUAAGCACUAAAAAGCAAAGAUUUAACCUUGUACCUUUUGCAUCAUGAUUUAGCCAGUACACCCAAGCAAAGCGACCUUUAGUUUGAAACCCCGAAACCAGGUGAGCUACCCCGAGACAGCCUAUUAUAGGGCCAACCCGUCUCUGUGGCAAAAGAGUGGGAAGAGCUCCGGGUAGAAGUGACAGACCUACCGAACCUGGUGAUAGCUGGUUGCCUAAGAAAUGGAUAGAAGUUCAGCCUCAUGUUCCUCAAAUCAAACAACAAAAGCAAGACAUUGAGAAACACAUGAGAGUUAGUUAAAGGGGGUACAGCCCCUUUAACAAAGGACACAACCUUUUCAGGAGGAAAAAGAUCAUAAUACACAAAACAUACUGUUCUAGUGGGCCUAAAAGCAGCCACCUAAAUAGAAAGCGUUAAAGCUCAGACAGAAAAAAGUUUAUUAUUCCGAUAAAAAAUCUUACUCCCCUAAAUACUAUUAGGCCAACCCAUGCCUACAUGGAAGAGAUUAUGCUAAAAUGAGUAACAAGAAGGCCAGCCCUUCUCCAAGCACAAGUGUAAGCCAAACCGGACCGACCAUUGGCAACUAACGAACUCAACCAAAGAGAGCAGUGUGAAUUAAAUAAAUCAAGAAAAACCCACAACCCAAACAUCGUUACCCCUACACUGGAGUGCACCAAAGGAAAGACUAAAAGAAAAGAAAGGAACUCGGCAAACACAAGCCUCGCCUGUUUACCAAAAACAUCGCCUCCUGCAACACAACCAAGCAUAGGAGGUCCAACCUGCCCAGUGACUACAAGUUUAACGGCCGCGGUAUUUUGACCGUGCAAAGGUAGCGCAAUCACUUGUCUUUUAAAUAGAGACCUGUAUGAAUGGUUAAACGAGGGCUUAACUGUCUCCCUUUUCAAGUCAGUGAAAUUGAUCUGCCCGUGCAGAAGCGGA
This 1104-nucleotide ribosomal RNA is filed under the name Barbodes semifasciolatus (Chinese barb). RNAcentral describes it as "LSU rRNA". The stretch from base 178 to 1083 matches the Rfam family "Bacterial large subunit ribosomal RNA", at positions 568 to 2044 of the family's 2925-position model. The record is from RNAcentral. Lineage: Eukaryota; Metazoa; Chordata; Actinopteri; Cypriniformes; Cyprinidae.